UUUUUUUUUUUUUUUUUUUUUUUUUUUUUUUUUUUUUUCCA
Molecule: non-coding RNA, 41 nt
Filed under: Alexandrium minutum
Lineage: Eukaryota; Dinophyceae; Gonyaulacales; Pyrocystaceae
Source: RNAcentral